GGGGUGNCAGGCGAUACGGGCAUAUUUAGAGUGCUGUAGGGGAGACUGGAAUUCCUGGUGUAGCGGUGGAAUGCGCAGAUAUCAGGAGGAACACCGAUGGCGAAGGCAGGUCUCUGGGCAGUAACUGACGCUGAGGAGCGAAAGCAUGGGGAGCGAACAGGAUUAGAUACCCUGGUAGUCCAUGCUGUAAACGGUGGGCGUUAGGUGUGGGGACCGGUUUGGUUUCUGUGCCGUAGCUAACGCAUUAAGCGCCCCGCCUGGGGAGUACGGCCGCAAGGCUAAAACUCAAAGGAAUUGACGGGGGCCCGCACAAGCGGCGGAGCAUGUGGAUUAAUUCGAUGCAACGCGAAGAACCUUACCUGGGUUUGACAUGCACCAGACGGUUGUAGAGAUACGUACCUCCCUUUGUGGUUGGUGUGCAGGUGGUGCAUGGUUGUCGUCAGCUCGUGUCGUGAGAUGUUGGGUUAAGUCCCGCAACGAGCGCAACCCUUGUCUUAUGUUGCCAGCACUUUGGGUGGGGACUCAUGAGAGACUGCCGGGGUUAACUCGGAGGAAGGUGGGGAUGACGUCAAAUCAUCAUGCCCUUUAUGCCCAGGGCUUCACACAUGCUACAAUGGUUAGUACAACGCGCUGCGAGCCUGUGAGGGUGAGCGAAUCGCUGAAAGCUAAUCUCAGUUCGGAUUGGGGUCUGCAACUCGACCCCAUGAGGUCGGAGUCGCUAGUAAUCGCAGAUCAGCAAUGCUGCGGUGAAUACGUUCCCGGGCCUUGUACACACCGC
RNAcentral lists this ribosomal RNA (778 nucleotides) under uncultured bacterium. Its description in RNAcentral is "bacterial SSU rRNA". It matches the Rfam family "Bacterial small subunit ribosomal RNA", at positions 617 to 1393 of the family's 1533-position model. The record is from RNAcentral.